AUUGAACGCUGGCGGAAUGCUUUACACAUGCAAGUCGAACGGCAGCACGGACUUCGGUCUGGUGGCGAGUGGCGAACGGGUGAGUAAUGUAUCGGAACGUGCCCAGUCGUGGGGGAUAACGUAGCGAAAAUUACGCUAAUACCGCAUACGAUCUAUGGAUGAAAGCGGGGGAUCGCAAGACCUCGCGCGAUUGGAGCGGCCGAUAUCAGAUUAGGUAGUUGGUGGGGUAAAGGCCCACCAAGCCAACGAUCUGUAGCUGGUCUGAGAGGACGACCAGCCACACUGGAACUGAGACACGGUCCAGACUCCUACGGGAGGCAGCAGUGGGGAAUUUUAGACAAUGGGCGAAAGCCUGAUCCAGCCAUUCCGCGUGCAGGAUGAAGGCCCUCGGGUUGUAAACUGCUUUUGUACAGAACGAAAAGGUUUCUACUAAUACUAGGAGCUCAUGACGGUACUGUAAGAAUAAGCACCGGCUAACUACGUGCCAGCAGCCGCCGUAA
Molecule: ribosomal RNA, 500 nt
Filed under: uncultured bacterium
Lineage: Bacteria
Description: partial 16S ribosomal RNA
Rfam family: Bacterial small subunit ribosomal RNA
Source: RNAcentral